RNAcentral lists this ribosomal RNA (465 nucleotides) under uncultured bacterium. RNAcentral describes it as "partial 16S ribosomal RNA". It matches the Rfam family "Bacterial small subunit ribosomal RNA", at positions 338 to 795 of the family's 1533-position model. The record is from RNAcentral.
CCUACGGGUGGCAGCAGUGGGGAAUUUUGCGCAAUGCUCGUAAGAGUGACGCAGCGACGCCGCGUGAAUGACGAAGGCCUUCGGGUCGUAAAGUUCUUUCGACAGGGAAGAAAAUGCAUAUAAGUAACUGUGUCUGUAUUGCCGGUCCCUGUAUAAGCAGCUCCGGCUAACUCCGUGCCAGCAGCCGCGGUAAUACGGAGGGGGUGAGCGUUGUUCGGAGUGACUGGGCGUAAGGAGCACGUAGGCGGUGUUGUAAGUCAUUAGGCAAAGACUAGAGCUCAACUUUAGUAAGGCUAGUGAUACUAUAAUGCUAGAAUGUCAGAGAGGAUUGCAGAAUUCCUGGUGUAGCGGUGAAAUGCGUAGAUAUCAGGAGGAAUACCGUUAGCGAAGGCGGCAAUCUGGCUGGAAACUGACGCUGAGGUGCGAAAGCGUGGGUAGCAAACAGGAUUAGAUACCCGAGUAGUC